UCGUUGUCUGUGCAUUUCUUUAUAAUCUGCUCCAUACCUUCAGAUCGUCCACCGUCAUCAGAUCUCAGAUCUGCAGUGGGUAUUUCCCACUCUUCAGCUCAUCACGAGGAUAUAAUGCACAAACCAAAUCUAAGAGAAAUUAGUGCAUGUCAACAGAUCUGUGGAGCAUCACAAACUGCUGGAGAAUUAAACAUCAGGACGAGAGAGAACAAGGAAAAUGAAGCAGGAGAGAAACAGAUCCUGAGACGAGUCAGACGGAGAAGCAGUGAUGCUGACAGACCAAACUGUGAGUAUUUAUGAUCUUUAUGAUAAACACUGUUUAGAUCAAGGCCGGCUAAAGCCUUUAUGGGCCCUAAGCAGAACUUUAUUUGGGGGCCCUUCGAUGCCGCCAGUACGAUUGACAAUUAGCUCUAUUCACAAGAUCACACAAAUAAUCAGAUAGAGUAAAGGUUAUGUGUAUUUGGUGUGUUGUCCGAGGAGAGGCUCAGAGCUCAGUAUUUGGCCUGAACCCAGAGUACUCCCUCCGUAUCUCUAGUUAGGAAAGUAACCAGGCGAGUGUGAGGAGACGGGUGGAGGAGGGAUGAAGAAAAAUGUGGAGGAACACAGGUGAGUCAGCUGUAUAUUUAUAUGCCUUAUCUCUUGCUGAUUGAUUAGGGAAUUUGAACCCGGUUUAAAAACAGGACAAACACUAUAUUUGAAAUGGCUUUCUGGCUUGCAUCUUAUCUUAAAAUGAUGGAUGUCAUUUUAAAAAUAUGGAAAUUAGCAGAAAUACGUUAAUGCAGCCUCUUAUUUACAUGAGAUAAAGUUUAUAUUUUUAAUGUAUAUAAUAGCCUACAGAUUUUAAAAUUGUACAUUGUGCCACAAUAACAACUCAUUUCAAAUGUUUUUCUCUUUCUCCUGUGAUGAAAUAUUGUUCUUUUAAAUACUUUCCAGCAUUUCAGUAAUAAAAGUGUACAUCUUUAAAGUGCAUCUAGAUUACAGUGAAGCACAACAGCUAUCGUACGGUGCUCCGCAAUGGUCAAAAAGGAUUCAAACGGUGAAUUUUUAAUUAAUCUCCUCUUGUAAAGUCAGAGAUGAGGACUGAAUCAUCACACAACCUUAGUGUUUAUCAAAAAACAGAUUUUUACGUGGGUGGUGGCAGAAAAACAGACAUUCUGGAUUCGCACAACAAUAAAAUCACAGACUAGCCCCUGUAAAUGCUGAAAAUACUUUAUGAGAAACAAUUACCAUCUGAAUAUGGCUAAUGCUUGAUUAUUCACACACUAUAAAUAUAACAUUAUCAAUUUUAUCAGUUGUAGUUGUGUUUCUUACAUGCCUGCCUGCAUGUUUUUACCCUUCUACGUUUUUUUAAUUGUAGCAAACCCACGAGUGGUCAGGUGUUCAUUUGCACUUUAAUAUUCAAAUUCUUACAGUACUGAGAGGCAUAUUUAAUGUAGUGUACUGAGAAGUAGCUAAAUAAACCAGCAGACAAUUCGUUUACUGUAAUCAAGUUACCCACUUCAAUUACUUUUGGUUAAAAAAAUUAGCAACAUGCAAAAGUGCAAAACAAUCAACUACAGUAAAAUAACUUAAGAUGUAUUAACAUUAAAGGGAUAGUUCACCUAAAAAUGAAAAAUCAUUCAUCAUUUUCUCACUCUCGAGUUGUUUUAAACCUGUUUCUUUCUUCUGCUGAACAUUAAAAGUUAUUUUAAAGAAUGUGGGUAUACAAACAGCUGCUUAGCUCACUUAUGUCUUGGGCCGGCUCUGAAUUACACAUUACAUAUUUCAUCACCAAUUCUGUUUCAUCACUUACUAUCUUUAACUGAAUGAGAGUUUUAACUAAUGUCUGUUUGUGAUUUCAGUUUCUCAUGAUCCAGAGAUUGAGUCUGAUCAUUCAGAGACACUCACAGAUGAGGGGAAACACUCACUGAUCAGAUAAUGAAGUUCAAACUGAUACAGAAAUAUGAUGUGAUAUUUAGAGGUGUGUGUGUGUGUGUGUGUGUGUGUGUGUGUGUGUGUGUGUGUGUGUGUGUGUGUGUGUGUGUGUGUGUGUGGAGCUGUGCAGUGACUGACUGAAGGCGGCAUGUGUGAUUUUGGUGAUUAUAAUAAAGAGAUUCACCAAAAAAAGCUUUUAUGAGGAUGUUUGUCAAUAAGCCACAGAAUAAAAAGUUUGUGGUGUGAAAGAUAAUGGUAGUUUUUGAAACAACAGGUUGACAAUUUCCUGUUUACACUAAGGAAAUGAAACAUUUUUGAUGUACGGUCUAACGCUUACACUUUCUCAUAAUAUUUUUCAUUAUUUCACUACAAUGACUUGUUUUGUCCGUUGCAAAUAUAAAUUUCCUACACAAACAAUUUAA
This is a long non-coding RNA of Ctenopharyngodon idella (grass carp), 2336 nucleotides long. RefSeq lists it as uncharacterized. The record is from RefSeq and is a predicted model, not a curated record. NCBI's taxonomy places the organism in Eukaryota, Metazoa, Chordata, Actinopteri, Cypriniformes, Xenocyprididae. The transcript has 2 exons.